This 233-nucleotide ribosomal RNA is filed under the name uncultured bacterium. RNAcentral's name for it is "partial 16S ribosomal RNA". It matches the Rfam family "Bacterial small subunit ribosomal RNA", at positions 32 to 253 of the family's 1533-position model. The record is from RNAcentral.
AAUCAACGCUGGCGGCGUGCCUCAGACAUGCAAGUCGAACGAUUAAACUUUCCUUCGGGAAAGAUAUAAAGUGGCGCACGGGUGAGUAACACGUAAGUAAUCUACCUUCGAGUGGGGAAGUAACAUCGGGAAACCGGAUGCUAAUACCGCAUAAUGCAGCGGCAUCGAAAGAUGACAGUUGUUAAAGGAGCAAUUCGCUUGAAGAGGAGCUUGCGGCAGAUUAGCUAGUUGGU